AUAUUCCAGUAGAACAAAUAAACUUCAUAGUAGACUCAUUGGAUACAUUAUUAAAACGCGAUUUAGUUUAGAAUUAAAAUACGAAAAAACUAAGGAGUGGUACAGUAAGGGGGCGGGGCUUCUUUUCUUUCUUUCUGUUUUCUUUCUUUCUUUCUCUGUUUCAUUUCCUGACGACCUAACCAUGGUGAGUACCGCUGCUUUGAAGCGCUUUCCUCUGCGACUACUUUAUAUCAUUAUUAUUAAUCUGUAUAUCGAUACUUUCCCUUGCCAGUGAGUAAUUGUUGUUCUGUGUCGUGUGUUAUUUCAGGAUGAUCCAGAGCAAAUACGCACAGAAGAAUUUCUGAAAGAUGAGGACCCUUUCAGAAGGAACGCCUUCGUGCUCAUCGAAACAAUGAUGGAUCUGAUGAGCCACGUUUCUGGUGAAGUCACAGCUUUAACUGAUGAGAUUCUUCACAGCAUCUUCUUUUUUGGAAAAAUCAACAAUCCACCAUAUUCUCCAGAGGAAAUUGUGACUGAUGGAGAGAUGUUGAACGUAUUGGAGGACCUCUUCCCUCGACCCUUUGACCUUUAUUCCUCUCAGCUACCAAAGCGGGGUCCGUUUUCAUGCCUGCUAGACAUGGUUGUCCACCUGAAAGGACGAGACAACGAAAUGUUAAUCAUAGAUUGCCUGCGCGCGAUCAUCAGGGAUCUGAAACUCAGUAAGCAUCUGGUGUCCUCCACCAUCUGUGUCUCUCACAUAGCCGAUACUAAAGAUCCAGUCAAGUACUAUGGAGUCUCCAUGUCCGCUCGUGGCCGUCUUCCGAAGAAAAUCAUGAUUGUUGCGUCCUGUCUCGGCACCUGGGACAGGUAUGUAGCAGGUGCAGUGAUGACCUACUUUCCAUCCGAGCAGAACGAUUUUGACGGAACUAUCCAACUUCCUGAGCGUGUCAGGUGCCAGGCGUUCAGCCUCUGGAGGAACAAACCCAUGCUUCCUUGCGGAUCAUGUGGCAAUUUGUUUGGUUUGAAACCAUGUGAGAAGAAGGAGUGGGUAUAUGGCAACUGUGCCGAAGUUGAAAGUUUGAGCAACUUGUUUAAACAUGUGGAUGACGUCAAAGUGAGCGCACGACCAACAUCUAGGAUGUACUCGGAUGGGGCGAUGGAUGACCUUGAAGGGCGUUUUAGGAGAGAGCUCGUCAAUUGGCUUAUAGAUCGGGACUUUUUUUGGGACGAAAAAAAGUUCUUCAUCCCUAAAUGUCAUGAUUGAAUAGCCUAUUACAUAGUGAUAAUUAGAUUAGAUUAGUGACAGCGGACCUGUAGCACUCUUUUGGAGAACGGCAUCCACUGUCCCUGCAGUAGGUGAUGGAGAGGGUCCAGUUAUCCAAUAUGGACAAUAAUUUCUUCAGUGUCCUACUCCCGUCCACUCACAGGCCCACAACUCCUGUGAUCGUUCAUUAUGGCGUGAACAACUAUUAUUGUUGAUUAUAUCCUUGUGAUCAUAUAGACACUGAAAUUCCCACGUGGGGCCGAUCACACCAGACGCUUCAAAAACGCUCCCUGGCAACAGCUGAUGAGCCUGUGGAGAGGGGGUGCGCGCGCAACCAGGCGAUCAAACUUAAAUCACGUGGGGGAUGUUUCAACGCAGACAUCCAUCACUUCUUAAUCUUCCUCGUAAUUAACGAUCACUCAUAUCAAUGUCUGUUCCAACCACAUCUACCAGCUUAAAAAUCAGGAAGUCAAAGGUGAAGUAGUAAAGCCCGCCUCUUGCUUGAUUUGAUUGGUUCCCUCGGUCCAGUGACGGCGGUGCGACUGCGCACGCAGCACUGAAGACUUGAGGAAUAUUUAAACUUUUAUGCGCGUCAUAAAACCGCCAGAGCUGUCUCUAUAUUGAAUUGUUUUUAACAACGCUUAUUGUUAAUUAUUCAGCUUCUUACAAACAAUAAAAACAUGAAUGCAUUAAUGGCUACCAAGAUAUAUAAGUGCAUGUAUUGAUCCUGUCAAUGGCAAUAAAAUCCAAAGAUUGUU
Molecule: long non-coding RNA, 2001 nt
Organism: Pseudoliparis swirei
Lineage: Eukaryota; Metazoa; Chordata; Actinopteri; Perciformes; Liparidae
Exons: 4
Source: RefSeq, a predicted model, not a curated record